UGAUGGAGGAAUAGACGUGCACGAAGAGCGGAUGGAGAGAAGCAGAUGAGGGUUGGACACACUCUGAGAGAGGUCACAGCAGGAGAGGAGAAGCUCUGCAUCUCAUUCAUCCAUGUCUAGCAGCCCGGAGGUCUCUCUCAUCCCUGAGUGAUAUUAACGAUCCACAGAAACAUGACUCUGGUUCUGGAUCUUAGUCCAUAUUGUCUCUGCUUCCCAACAUUAUUGAUUCCCUUGUUCUCUAUCUUUAUCAAGCCCUCCCCUCCUCUCUCCUUGCUGCCCAAAAGGGGUAUCUGAGACUGGCUGGGGUGGAUAACAGACUCAUCAGGGGUCAGGAUUAGGGCCUCUCUGCCUUGGCCACAAAUCUGCUACUGUCCCAAUGCCAGACGUCACCUCUCCCCCCAGAUACAUACACAGUGGAUAGAGACAGGGAUGAGAAUGGAUGACUGACAGUGUGUGGGGUCAGGACUCAACUGAG
Oncorhynchus gorbuscha (pink salmon) is the source of this 475-nucleotide long non-coding RNA. RefSeq lists it as uncharacterized. The record is from RefSeq and is a predicted model, not a curated record. The transcript has 3 exons. NCBI's taxonomy places the organism in Eukaryota, Metazoa, Chordata, Actinopteri, Salmoniformes, Salmonidae.